UACUGUUUGUAGUAUUAUAUGAUUACAGGUACUUCUACUUUUCGCGUCAUACAUAGGGAAAAUAUCUAUGUAUACGGCGGGUCUGUUAGCGAGUCCGGAAAAACGAGCAAAUCGGGGCGUGACAGUGUGGGUCCCACCGAAUGCUAAAUUUUUUUAUUUUAACCUGAUAGAUAGGUUGUGUGGGAAGAGGGGGGAGGCAGAUGACCUUGACGCUGUCGUUGCCGGAAAGGUGGAAGAGGGCGUAGUGGAA
This 250-nucleotide long non-coding RNA is filed under the name Ananas comosus (pineapple). RNAcentral's name for it is "long non-coding RNA (ACOM_LNC010527)". The record is from RNAcentral. Lineage: Eukaryota; Viridiplantae; Streptophyta; Magnoliopsida; Poales; Bromeliaceae.